Molecule: ribosomal RNA, 492 nt
Filed under: uncultured bacterium
Lineage: Bacteria
Description: partial 16S ribosomal RNA
Rfam family: Bacterial small subunit ribosomal RNA
Source: RNAcentral
AGUGAACGCUGGCGGUAGGCCUAACACAUGCAAGUCGAACGGCAGCACAGUAAGAGCUUGCUCUUACGGGUGGCGAGUGGCGGACGGGUGAGGAAUACAUCGGAAUCUACUUUUUCGUGGGGGAUAACGUAGGGAAACUUACGCUAAUACCGCAUACGACCUACGGGUGAAAGCAGGGGAUCUUCGGACCUUGCGCGAUUGAAUGAGCCGAUGUCGGAUUAGCUAGUUGGCGGGGUAAAGGCCCACCAAGGCGACGAUCCGUAGCUGGUCUGAGAGGAUGAUCGGCGACACUGGAGCUGGGACACGGUCCAGACUCCUACGGGAGGCAGCAGUGGGGAAUAUUGGACAAUGGGCGCAAGCCUGGUCCAGCCAUACCGCGUGGGUGAAGAAGGCCUUCGGGUUGUAAAGCCCUUUUGUUGGGAAAGAAAAGCAGCAGGUUAAUACCCCGCUGUUCUGACGGUACCCAAAGAAUAAGCACCGGCUAACUUCGUG